Molecule: long non-coding RNA, 235 nt
Organism: Labeo rohita (rohu)
Lineage: Eukaryota; Metazoa; Chordata; Actinopteri; Cypriniformes; Cyprinidae
Exons: 3
Source: RefSeq, a predicted model, not a curated record
AAGCUGUCCAAGGCUUUGACACAGCACACCCAAAAAUAUCGAAAGUAUACUUUUACAGGUGUUUCAUUACUCCUUCUGGAACCAAAACAUUCAGAACAUGGAAAAUCAAGACCCUGCUGUUGUUGAUGCAAUAAAGGCAUCGGGCGAGUCCACUCUGGAAAAGGCUACAGCAAAAGCUAAAAUGAAAAUGGACCAGUUUUUUAAUAUCUCACUUAACGUCGCUGUGACUGGAAAC